Molecule: unclassified non-coding RNA, 401 nt
Filed under: Hevea brasiliensis (rubber tree)
Lineage: Eukaryota; Viridiplantae; Streptophyta; Magnoliopsida; Malpighiales; Euphorbiaceae
Source: RNAcentral
GAGCCUAUGUCAACUUGUAGGAAGGUGAUGUUGGGAAUAAAUCUUGCUUUUAAUUUAUCCAAAAAAAUGGGAAAAGCUUUUGCUUCUUUUUGUAACAACUAACACAUGAAACUGAGCCUUUUGAGCAAGCAUACUUGCUAUGCUUUUUUUUCUUUUCUCUAAAACAAAUUUUCUGAUGCAAAACCAUGAUACUUCCAAGUGUUGUUUUGUAAUUGGUGAUAUGCUCAAGCUUUAAUUACUUUUGUGAAUGUUAUUUCACUCCUUUUAAAUCAGAAUUUUCAUUUAAGUGUUUUUCUUUUUUUACUUUUCUAUGUUUCGACUUAUUUCUUCCAUUUAUUUCAUUCAAUAUCAUCAAUUAUUAAAAAUCUCUUAUCAUGCAGAUAGUUAACUGGAGAACCCAU